This 93-nucleotide ribosomal RNA is filed under the name Bacillus halotolerans. Its description in RNAcentral is "partial 23S ribosomal RNA". It matches the Rfam family "Bacterial large subunit ribosomal RNA", at positions 2839 to 2925 of the family's 2925-position model. Lineage: Bacteria; Bacillati; Bacillota; Bacilli; Caryophanales; Bacillaceae. The record is from RNAcentral.
GAAAGAUGAUCAGGUUGAUAGGUCUGAGGUGGAAGUGUGGCGACACAUGGAGCUGACAGAUACUAAUCGAUCGAGGACUUAACCUAAUUUCUA